GACUCUCGGCAACGGAUAUCUCGGCUCUCGCAUCGAUGAAGAACGUAGCGAAAUGCGAUACCUGGUGUGAAUUGCAGAAUCCCGCGAACCAUCGAGUCUUUG
Molecule: ribosomal RNA, 102 nt
Rfam family: 5.8S ribosomal RNA
About the family: 5.8S ribosomal RNA (5.8S rRNA) is a component of the large subunit of the eukaryotic ribosome. It is transcribed by RNA polymerase I as part of the 45S precursor that also contains 18S and 28S rRNA. Functionally, it is thought that 5.8S rRNA may be involved in ribosome translocation.